This 253-nucleotide ribosomal RNA is filed under the name uncultured bacterium. RNAcentral's name for it is "partial 16S ribosomal RNA". It matches the Rfam family "Bacterial small subunit ribosomal RNA", at positions 524 to 776 of the family's 1533-position model. The record is from RNAcentral.
UACGUAGGGGGCGAGCGUUGUCCGGAAUCAUUGGGCGUAAAGCGCGUGUAGGCGGUCCGAUCAGUUCGCUGUGAAAGUCGGGGGCUUAACCCUCGGAUGCCGGUGAAUACUGUCGGGCUUGAGUACGGAAGAGGCGAGUGGAAUUCCUGGUGUAGCGGUGAAAUGCGCAGAUAUCAGGAGGAACACCAAUUGCGAAGGCAGCUCGCUGGGACGUUACUGACGCUGAGACGCGAAAGCGUGGGGAGCAAACAGG